This is a non-coding RNA of Marchantia polymorpha subsp. ruderalis, 105 nucleotides long. NCBI's taxonomy places the organism in Eukaryota, Viridiplantae, Streptophyta, Marchantiopsida, Marchantiales, Marchantiaceae. The record is from the annotation of a GenBank genome assembly.
UUACGAAUGGUGGAAGAAGAAGAGAGAGAGCACAGCCCUGUGUUCACGACCACUGACUGGUCCUGCUUGGCUGUGCCCUCUCUCUUCCACUGCCGGCAUCCGUGA